RNAcentral lists this ribosomal RNA (253 nucleotides) under uncultured bacterium. RNAcentral describes it as "partial 16S ribosomal RNA". It matches the Rfam family "Bacterial small subunit ribosomal RNA", at positions 524 to 776 of the family's 1533-position model. The record is from RNAcentral.
UACGUAGGGUCCAAGCGUUAAUCGGAAUUACUGGGCGUAAAGCGUGCGCAGGCGGUUCGUUAAGUCAGCUGUGAAAGCCCCGGGCUCAACCUGGGAAUUGCGGUUGAAACUGGCGAACUAGAAUCUGGCAGAGGGGGGUGGAAUUCCACGUGUAGCAGUGAAAUGCGUAGAGAUGUGGAGGAACACCGAUGGCGUAGGCAGCCCCCUGGGCUGAGAUUGACGCUCAGGCACGAAAGCGUGGGGAGCAAACAGG